GAUGAACGCUGGCGGCGUGCCUAAUACAUGCAAGUCGAGCGAACGGACGAGAAGCUUGCUUUUCUGAUGUUAGCGGCGGACGGGUGAGUAACACGUGGAUAACCUACCUAUAAGACUGGGAUAACUUCGGGAAACCGGAGCUAAUACCGGAUAAUAUUUUGAACCGCAUGGUUCAAAAGUGAAAGACGGUCUUGCUGUCACUUAUAGAUGGAUCCGCGCUGCAUUAGCUAGUUGGUAAGGUAACGGCUUACCAAGGCAACGAUGCAUAGCCGACCUGAGAGGGUGAUCGGCCACACUGGAACUGAGACACGGUCCAGACUCCUACGGGAGGCAGCAGUAGGGAAUCUUCCGCAAUGGGCGAAAGCCUGACGGAGCAACGCCGCGUGAGUGAUGAAGGUCUUCGGAUCGUAAAACUCUGUUAUUAGGGAAGAACAUAUGUGUAAGUAACUGUGCACAUCUUGACGGUACCUAAUCAGAAAGCCACGGCUAACUACGUGCCAGCAGCCGCGGUAAUACGUAGGUGGCAAGCGUUAUCCGGAAUUAUUGGGCGUAAAGCGCGCGUAGCGGUUUUUUAAGUCUGAUGUGAAAGCCCACGGCUCAACCGUGGAGGGUCAUUGGAAACUGGAAAACUUGAGUGCAGAAGAGGAAAGUGGAAUUCCAUGUGUAGCGGUGAAAUGCGCAGAGAUAUGGAGGAACACCAGUGGCGAAGGCGACUUUCUGGUCUGUAACUGACGCUGAUGUGCGAAAGCGUGGGGAUCAAACAGGAUUAGAUACCCUGGUAGUCCACGCCGUAAACGAUGAGUGCUAAGUGUUAGGGGGUUUCCGCCCCUUAGUGCUGCAGCUAACGCAUUAAGCACUCCGCCUGGGGAGUACGACCGCAAGGUUGAAACUCAAAGGAAUUGACGGGGACCCGCACAAGCGGUGGAGCAUGUGGUUUAAUUCGAAGCAACGCGAAGAACCUUACCAAAUCUUGACAUCCUUUGACAACUCUAGAGAUAGAGCCUUCCCCUUCGGGGGACAAAGUGACAGGUGGUGCAUGGUUGUCGUCAGCUCGUGUCGUGAGAUGUUGGGUUAAGUCCCGCAACGAGCGCAACCCUUAAGCUUAGUUGCCAUCAUUAAGUUGGGCACUCUAAGUUGACUGCCGGUGACAAACCGGAGGAAGGUGGGGAUGACGUCAAAUCAUCAUGCCCCUUAUGAUUUGGGCUACACACGUGCUACAAUGGACAAUACAAAGGGCAGCGAAACCGCGAGGUCAAGCAAAUCCCAUAAAGUUGUUCUCAGUUCGGAUUGUAGUCUGCAACUCGACUACAUGAAGCUGGAAUCGCUAGUAAUCGUAGAUCAGCAUGCUACGGUGAAUACGUUCCCGGGUCU
This 1371-nucleotide ribosomal RNA is filed under the name uncultured bacterium. Its description in RNAcentral is "bacterial SSU rRNA". It matches the Rfam family "Bacterial small subunit ribosomal RNA", at positions 28 to 1381 of the family's 1533-position model. The record is from RNAcentral.